GGCAACAACUUGGUGGGGUCAACUCGAAUGCUUUUGUCGGCUGUUCUUGAAGAUUUCUGAGUCUCUGCCACAUUCUUUGGCUGUUGCUGGUGUUUAAGCACUCCAAAACUGCAUAGCAGUAUGUUUGGAGGUGGCCUGUCAAAUAUGAGAAGCUGACAGUGUGACUGAGCUAGUCACGGGGGUCUUCACAGAAAAGGCAGUCUGGGUCCUGGUCCACUGGAGAUUCCAACUGAAUGAAUUCCUGGCCAGAACUACAGCCACAGAACUACAGCUGGUGUGAGAAAAAGACGAUGAAAAGAUAAAAAUACACCUUGGUAGCUGCUGGAUUGAGGCAAAUGAGAGACACAUGGAGCUCAUCUAGAUCCAACUCUACAGCUUGAAGCUAAGCCUACCUUAGCCAAGUCUACACCAGUUUGACUUCGGUCGAUUCAUAGAUGUUUGAGCCAGAGGUAAGGUGCUUGUUGCUGGAAGCCAGUUAAACUUUGAAGUCUUUUUGAAAAAUAUGUUGUCAUUGCAGACAUAGCUGCACAUAAUCUUCCACACUGUGGGAAGUCAAAUUAAGCAUGCUUAGACUUUAGAGCAGAAUCCCAUUAUUAGUGUAGUGGCAAAAAUGUUACAAGUGGCAUAGCCCCCCAGUUUCCUUCUCCUAGCCCUCUGCCUAAGAACUAGAGUACUUAGUUUUGAAGUGGAGCCCUAAUGGGAGUGUCCAUCUCUCACCAGGGUUAAGCCUCUUGGCCCUUACUGAGCACUCAGAGUUGUUAGUUCCCUGGAAGAUAUGAAAGAGCUUCACUGGCUCUGGAGUUCUCAGUCAAUAACCAACUGUAACAGACCUACCCUUCCAACAAAAUCUUGAUUCAGGAAAUUGAGUGUCUGCUUAUAGUUAAUGCUCUAUUUUUUUAUAUCUAAUAGGAGAAACAUUUUCAAAAGAGCCAUGACCUGACUCAGUUAAUGUGCAAGGAAAGGCAAGCAGGUCCAGACUUUUCAGUUUAUCCAUCAUCCCUUAUCCAAAAUUUCCAACUCUCUUGGAAUUAUUUUGUUCUUCAUACUUGCCCAACAAAUAUCUCACUCUUGUUUUGGACCUUCUUUUGUAGUUAUCUCACAUAAGCUCCUUUUGACUAAGGUCACGUAUUUGGAAUCAGACUACCCAAGUUCAACUCCUGGGUCUACCAUUUAUUAGCUUGUAUUACUUUGGGCAAGAUAAUUAAAUUCUCCAGGUUUAAGUUCCCCCAUUAUAACAUAAUAAUAGUUAUUAUCUGCUAGGGUUGUCUUGAGAAUUAAAUGAGAUAAUUCAUAAGAACCCUUUAACACAGUGCCAGCCACAUAAUGAAGGCAUAGUAAGAGAAAAGUAUUACACUGUUGAUAAUACUUGUCUAGGCAGGGCUCUUAGAUUUUUCUCUGUAUCCCUUACUGUGCAAUUCAUCUGUCCCCUAACAUUCUAAGAUUGUUUUAGAGUGAGUUGCUUCAGAGUUGAAUAAUUAUAAUGGUAUAUUCUCACAUUUAUAAACAACUUGGAAUUCCAUUUAGUGUUGACAUUGACAAGGAAAUGUCUAUGAGUAAUUUCUGCAAUUUUUUAUUCAUUAUGGAGAGACAAAAUGGGUAUAAUGGUGAGAAGAAUUAGGUAGGAGGUCUGGAAAGAGAUUGAGUUUAAAUGCUUACUAUGCUGAGUAAUAAUGGUAAUGAAUAAUGGUAUGAUCUUAAGAAAUCUAAGCUUUAGUUUUUCCCAUCUUAAAGACAAAGUUGUCAUUAGUAUUUCAUAAUGUAGGGUAGUAUAUAAACUUCCUGGCAUGUAGCAACUGCUCAAUAAAUAGAAGUUAUAGUUUUUUCUAAACUUGAUAAAGAGCCAAGGGAAAAAUAAAGAUUUUGCAGCUAAAGCCAUUUCUUUUUCUCUGUUAUGUACCUAUCUAUUCCAGAAACAGAAUUAAUUCCCUAAACCUCAUCAAAGGAAGGAUUUGAACACUAAAAAAAAAUAAUCAAUCUCUUUGGGUUUGUUAUUGCUUGUUUUCACAUACCUCAGAGGCAUUAAUACAAACCUUUAUAAUGUCAUCAGAAAGAAGAGAAGUCAAACACUCCUUAAUAAUUGCAAGGUUAUUAUUUUGCAAGGAAUCGAGUCAAAAUUCCAUUGACAUGAGGACUGUAACUUUUUCAUUACUCCUUAAGGCAAGAUGUCCUUGAAUUAAGUAGUUCAUGUAGAAACUUGUUACAAGUCCUUAGCGGAGAGACUGUACUGGAAAUAUAGGAUCUACUUAAGGGUUUGAGCUUCCCCACCCACUUACUUUAGAGUGACAAUUCACACCUAUAAAAACACAAAAGUACAGGGGUUUGUUAAACACUAGAAGACCCAAAGAGCCAAGACUUAUGCCUGUAAAAGUGGUGCUUCCUAAGGGGAAGACAUGGAAUUUCUCAGAGAAUACAGCCUGUCUUGACCAAGGGACUGUACAAGGAAGAUUAGGAGGUAACUACUGGGGUAAAAGAGGGACAGUUGCAUCUUUCUGGAACACUCUAAUAAAACUGUAAGUUUUACUAACUUCUUCUUUCAUAUGAUAGAAGCGUCAAAUUUGAUACUUAAAGUCGUAAUAUCCCGUAAGUACUGCUCAGGAACACCUGUUUAGUCCUACUACAAAACUUGAAGAAAAGGUCUCCUUUCCUAAUGCUGUACCAGUCCUCUCCUCACAGAUGACUUGGGAAAGAAAUUCUGUUGGCCAGAUUCCACAAGUAUAAGAUGAUAAGAGACCAACUUCUUUAUUCCUCUGCUCUUCAUUUGUCCUCCCACCUCAAUUGCUUUGGGAAAAUAACAUAGUCUGGAACAGAAAAAAAGGAGCCUUGUUGUACUUCAUUUGCCUGAAGAGACUACUUUCAGAGAAAAUUAUAGUCAAAAUUAUUUCAAGUUUUAGGGCCAUACUGAAUAUAUAAGGGUGCUAUUGCUUAAUCUCUGUGCUCUUAUCUUGGUGUGGCAAAGCUCAUUGGGGCUAUAUUGAAAGUAGCCUGAAACCAAUUGGUCAGAUGCUGCUGGCAGGAGGAGCCCCCAGGGGGAUCAAGGACAUGGAUGACACAGUGAGUGUAAUUAUUAGUCAAGAUAGGCUAGGUUAGGCGUUAGUGGCAAAUUAUCUCAGUGGCUUAGUACAAUAAAGGCUUAUUGCUUAUCCAUGUGGCAUGUCUACUGCAGGUCCACAAGGCCUCUGUUCCACUCACAGAUCCAGAUUUUAACAUUCUUUGCCAUCUCAUAGCUAAUGAUCUAAACAUCAGCAGAAGGAAGGUGUCUUGGGUCAGGCUACCUGGAAAACAGAUCAAGUUAAAGAUUUCUGUGCAGAAAGGUUUUUAGGGAGGGAACUCUGAUUGACAUCUGCCAGGGAGAGAGCAAAAACAGCUGAGCAGACAACUGUUGAACUGUUACUACUGGUAACAACAAAGGUCUUGGCCAACCCAGCAGGGAAUGCUGGAGUUCAAAAUGGUUCUCCACAGGCGUUUCACCUUAAGGCAAGGGAUUGGGCCUUUAUUAUCCCCUAUCAACCAGUCCUUUGAUUGGCUUGACCCCAGAGAGAGGUUAUAACCUUGAGUAAAGUGUCUCUGUCUACUGAGGAUAAUUCGAGGAGAGCAACUAAGCUGAGAGUUGUCAGCAAUGGGAGGAAUCAGAGGCUCAGUCCUGAAAAGCAGGUCUGAGCAGGAUAAAAUAGCAUCCACUACAAAGGGGAAAGUGCAUGCACUUUUCACUGCCUCCACUUGGGAGAGAGACAUGCCAUUUUCUGCUCUCAUUUCAAUGACCAAAAGGAGUCACAUGAUUCUAUCUAAUUUCAAAGAAUCUGGGAAGUGUGGGGAAAGUAACUGGACUAUUUGGGAAGGAUCAUUAUUUCUGCCACAAUGGAGAAGAGAUGUCCCUUUGGAGCUACUCAUUUCUGUUUUCAGUGGUGUAAUGUCUUUUAGUCAUGGUCAUGAUACAGGUUCUGUUUUGCAUUUGGCAUCCAAUGACUUUGUCAUCCCAUGUCUGGUUUCUGCCUGCUUUUCCUGAAGAUUGCUUAGCCUCCUUUCCUUCCAUCUACAAGAUCAGAUCCUUCUCCCAAGCUCUUGUCCUAGUCUUGUCUAGGCAUCAAGUCAAACUUCCUAGUGCUUUUUUUUUCUCUUCUGGAGGUCCAGUUCAAACAAAACCAAAACCAAAAGUAAAACAGGCCCGUUCUCUAGUCCUGACUGAACACUUCUUAUACCAUAGUUUCUCCCAAACUAAGGCUUUUCUCCAUCAGUCCUCUCUGUUAAUCAGAGUACUGAACUCUGCAUUAUCCUAGUAGGUCCUAUUACAUGACAUUCACUUCUUUUCAAAUUGUCUACCCUUAUCCUUCACAUUAUCAUGAUCAAUAUCCUUAUCUGGACAACUGCCAGCUGCCUUUUGUUCGAUCUUCUAGACUGUUCUCUCUAACCACCCACCUGGUUGAAUUUCUGGUACCUGAAAACCCUGAAGCGCUGGGACUAAGCCAAGACCACUAAACUGAGAUAAAAAGAAAGAACUACCUUCUCAGCCUUAAAAUUCUUUGAAAGUACAUUUUCUGUGAUCAGCUAUUUUUUUUCUCUUUUAAUCAUUUGGCUCUUUCUUGCUGUCAGUGUACAUACACAUCACUUUUCAUCAUUAGGGAGUCAUCACAUACUUCAUCGAGACAGUACUCUGUAUUUCAAAGACCUAGACCAAUUAUAAUUAAAGCAAGGUAUAGAUCACUGCAUACAUGGUAUUAGUCUUUGGACACUCAGUAGCUAUUGACCUACUUUAAUAAUUGACUGAGACUAUUGAUUCUUUAAAUAUAACUACAUGUUUCUAUCUUAGUGGAACCAAUUACAGUUUAUAAGUCUAUUGAAGAAUAGCUGACUUCUCAAAAUUUGACUUAUUCUAUCUCAGGGACUCAGAAGAUAACUAAUGACAGCUAAAUGACUUCUGACCCAUGUCUGAGUGAGGCUAGGCUGCUACCUGAGUCCAACUUCAACAUUCUGUGACAAUUUGCAGUGAAAUAGUACCUAGAGGAGGAGAGAGAGCUUGAGAAAAGCAGAAAAUGCUGAUGAAACAAGCCAUUGUUGUGAAUUGGCAAUUACUGCCUAUUUAGUCCAGACUUCACAAACAGACAGCUGGCUACGGACACAUAUUUUUGUUAUUAGGUGACAAUUUUUGAAAUUGGAAGAUUUUACUUAAAAAUUUGUAUUCCAAGUGUGAACUGAAAAGGCGGACCUGACAAGACCAAGUCCUCCUUCCUUGUGGCAGUAAUUCAUGGGGGCCAAAUAGUGGAGGGUCCCCUUCAAAUGGACAAGAGGAUGCCCAUUCUCCAGAUCACCAGAGCCCCACUAUUUCCCUUUGUUAGAGACGGAAUUGCAUUCCUCCAAAAUUCAUAUGUUGAAG
This is a long non-coding RNA of Sapajus apella (tufted capuchin), 5368 nucleotides long. RefSeq lists it as uncharacterized. The transcript has 4 exons. The record is from RefSeq and is a predicted model, not a curated record. NCBI's taxonomy places the organism in Eukaryota, Metazoa, Chordata, Mammalia, Primates, Cebidae.